UUUCGCAAUGCCCGAAAGGGUGACGAAGCGACGCCGCGUGGGUGAGGAAGGCCUUCGGGUUGUAAAGCCCUGUCAGGAGUUAAGAAAUAUAAGUGCGCUAAUACCGCAUUUAUUUGACGAAGGCUCCAAAGGAAGUCACGGCUAACUCUGUGCCAGCAGCCGCGGUAAUACAGAGGUGGCAAGCGUUGUUCGGAAUUAUUGGGCGUAAAGAGCACGUAGGUGGGUUUGUAAGUCAGAUGUGAAAGCCUCCUGUUCAACGGGAGAAUUGCAUCUGAAACUACAGAUCUUGAGUGUAGGAGGGGAGAAUGGAACUUCUGGUGGAGCGGUGAAAUGCGUAGAUAUCAGAAGGAACGCCGGCGGCGAAAGCGAUUCUCUGGCCUAUUACUGACACUCAGUGUGCGAAAGCUAGGGUAGCAAACGGGAUUAGAUACCCCGGUAGUCCUAGCCGUAAACGAUGGGCACUAAGUAGAGGGGUUUUA
RNAcentral lists this ribosomal RNA (479 nucleotides) under uncultured anaerobic ammonium-oxidizing bacterium. Its description in RNAcentral is "bacterial SSU rRNA". It matches the Rfam family "Bacterial small subunit ribosomal RNA", at positions 364 to 833 of the family's 1533-position model. The record is from RNAcentral.